Molecule: ribosomal RNA, 101 nt
Filed under: uncultured bacterium
Lineage: Bacteria
Description: partial 16S ribosomal RNA
Source: RNAcentral
CCGUUGUACACACGCCCGUCACACCACGAGAGUUUGCAACACCGAAGCCGGUGAGGUAACCGCAAGGAGCCAGCCGUCGAAGGUGGGUAGAUGAUUGGGUG